RNAcentral lists this ribosomal RNA (826 nucleotides) under Cordyceps sp. Corcal903. Its description in RNAcentral is "eukaryotic LSU rRNA". It matches the Rfam family "Eukaryotic large subunit ribosomal RNA", at positions 51 to 909 of the family's 3401-position model. Lineage: Eukaryota; Fungi; Ascomycota; Sordariomycetes; Hypocreales; Cordycipitaceae. The record is from RNAcentral.
CGGAGGAAAAGAAACCAACAGGGAUUGCCCCAGUAACGGCGAGUGAAGCGGCAACAGCUCAAAUUUGAAAUCUGGCCUUCUGGUCCGAGUUGUAAUUUGCAGAGGAUGCUUUUGGCGAGGUGCCUUCCGAGUUCCCUGGAACGGGACGCCACAGAGGGUGAGAGCCCCGUCUGGUCGGACACCGAGCCUCUGUAAAGCUCCUUCGACGAGUCGAGUAGUUUGGGAAUGCUGCUCAAAAUGGGAGGUAUAUGUCUUCUAAAGCUAAAUAUUGGCCAGAGACCGAUAGCGCACAAGUAGAGUGAUCGAAAGAUGAAAAGCACUUUGAAAAGAGGGUUAAAAAGUACGUGAAAUUGUUGAAAGGGAAGCGCCUAUGACCAGACUUGGGCCCGGUGAAUCACCCAGCGUUCUCGCUGGGGCACUUUGCCGGGCACAGGCCAGCAUCAGUUUGGCGCGGGGGAGAAAGGCUUCGGGAAUGUGGCUCCCUCGGGAGUGUUAUAGCCCGCUGCGUAAUACCCUGCGCCGGACUGAGGUACGCGCAUCGCAAGGAUGCUGGCGUAAUGGUCAUCAGCGACCCGUCUUGAAACACGGACCAAGGAGUCGUCUUCGUAUGCGAGUGUUCGGGUGUCAAACCCCUACGCGUAAUGAAAGUGAACGCAGGUGAGAGCUUCGGCGCAUCAUCGACCGAUCCUGAUGUUCUCGGAUGGAUUUGAGUAAGAGCAUACGGGGCCGGACCCGAAAGAAGGUGAACUAUGCCUGUAUAGGGUGAAGCCAGAGGAAACUCUGGUGGAGGCUCGCAGCGGUUCUGACGUGCGAAUCGAUCGUCAAA